AUCUAAAUAGUUUAAUAGGAAAAUAUUGGUUUGUGGUGCCAGUGAUAUAGUUUUUGUAUUUUAGAUU
Molecule: transfer RNA, 67 nt
Filed under: Anoplotermes janus
Lineage: Eukaryota; Metazoa; Arthropoda; Insecta; Blattodea; Termitidae
Description: tRNA-His
Rfam family: tRNA
About the family: Transfer RNA (tRNA) molecules are approximately 80 nucleotides in length. Their secondary structure includes four short double-helical elements and three loops (D, anti-codon, and T loops).
Source: RNAcentral